Molecule: ribosomal RNA, 520 nt
Filed under: uncultured Pacispora
Lineage: Eukaryota; Fungi; Glomeromycota; Glomeromycetes; Diversisporales; Pacisporaceae
Description: SSU rRNA
Rfam family: Eukaryotic small subunit ribosomal RNA
Source: RNAcentral
AGCAGCCGCGGUAAUUCCAGCUCCAAUAGCGUAUAUUAAAGUUGUUGCAGUUAAAAAAGCUCGUAGUUGAAUUUCGAAAUUUUUUUAUCGGUUGAAUCAACAGGUUCGUACUGAUUUUAAGAAUUUCUACCUUCUGGAGAACCUUAAUGUCAUUUAUUUGAUGUUUUGGGAAACCAGGACUGUUACCUUGAAAAAAUUAGAGUGUUUAAAGCAGGCUUAUGUCUGAAUAUAUUAGCAUGGAAUAAUGAAAUAGGACGGCAUGGUUCUAUUUUGUUGGUUUCUAGGAUCACCGUAAUGAUUAAUAGGGAUAGUUGGGGGCAUUAGUAUUCAAUUGUCAGAGGUGAAAUUCUUGGAUUUAUUGAAGACUAACUUCUGCGAAAGCAUUUGCCAAGGAUGUUUUCAUUAAUCAAGAACGAAAGUUAGGGGAUCGAAGACGAUCAGAUACCGUCGUAGUCUUAACCAUAAACUAUGCCGACUAGGAAUCGGACGAAGUUAAUUUUUAAUGACUCGUUCGGCGCCU